This 840-nucleotide transfer RNA is filed under the name uncultured cyanobacterium. RNAcentral's name for it is "partial contains 16S ribosomal RNA and 16S-23S ribosomal RNA intergenic spacer". The stretch from base 311 to 383 matches the Rfam family "tRNA". Lineage: Bacteria; Bacillati; Cyanobacteriota. The record is from RNAcentral.
UGGAUCACCUCCUAACAGGGAGACAAAUCAGAUAUUGAUGUCUGGACCAAAUUGAGUCUAGGCCAAUAUCCUGUCAUCUCGAAGGUCGAUCGGUACCUCAAGCCAGGUUGCCAAGAUGUCAAGGAGACUUGAGAUUGUUGGUGAUGUUGGUUUCAGUUUCUAAACUCUGUCUAGGUCACCCCACAGCGGGUAAGUACUCCUGGGCCAUUAGCUCAGGUGGUUAGAGCGCACCCCUGAUAAGGGUGAGGUCCCUGGUUCAAGUCCAGGAUGGCCCAUUCACCGCCUGCUGAGCAGGCAGGACUUGGCUGCUGGGGGUUUAGCUCAGUUGGUAGAGCGCCUGCUUUGCAAGCAGGAUGUCAGCGGUUCGAGUCCGCUAACCUCCAUCCAACUAUGAAUCCCGAACAGCAAAGGAAGGAGUCGCUGGGGUGGUGACCGAAAGUUGAGAUUAUGUUGCAUCCAUUGUGAUGCUUAAAGCAUGAUCAGCAUUAUAAAUAGAAUUCAGCCUCCAGGCAUUCUGAGCAAUCAGCUGCCUGGAAGCUGAAUUCAGGUUUUCCGAGAGGAAGCCAAGAAUUCAGCGAGAACCUUGACAACUGCAUAGGUAAGUCUGGAAAGAAAGCAUCUCAUGGAUGCCUAAUGUCCAGAGCGAGUGAGAGCCGAUGAGAAUCGGAGGGAGCGAGCUUUGGAGAUGAGGUUUGAUUCUUGAGUGAGAGCCGAGACUUUUCCGCGACUUCGAAUCGAUCUGAUCGAGAGAUUAGAUGAGGAGUUUGUAGCGGGAAAGAUUUAUAGGUCAAGCUACAAAGGGCUCACGGUGGAUACCUUGGCACACAGAGGCGAUGAAGG